Molecule: long non-coding RNA, 2331 nt
Organism: Hordeum vulgare subsp. vulgare (domesticated barley)
Lineage: Eukaryota; Viridiplantae; Streptophyta; Magnoliopsida; Poales; Poaceae
Exons: 2
Source: RefSeq, a predicted model, not a curated record
UAACCCCAUCACCGCCGGCCCUCCCCAUCGCCUCCGACCAUCCCCCUCGUCCCAUCCCAUCUCCUAGCUCUGGAGGUUUUCUAAUCCGCCACGCCUCGCACCCACGCAUCCCUCUCGCGUCCCAUCUCUCGCUCUUCACGCGGCUCCUCCUUGCGUCACCUACGGCGGCUGAGUCUGGCGACAUCUAGCGGAUCCCAAACCGCCAGGAACAUCCCGACGUCCCCUCGCACCGCGGCGCUUUCCAUCCAGCUAGAUCCGAUGCUCGCAGCCACACAAACCCACCCCGCUACCCUCCCCCCUAGCUAGGGUUUCGGGCGUAGGCUCCGGCGCCGGUGGCCAUGUGGUCUUCCCUCGUCCAGUGAGUGCAUCCCCUCCCUUUGCUUCGUACUCCCUCUCCCCCCAUUCUCUAACAUAUGCUCUUCUCUUCUCCUGUAGAGAUGCAGGGAGGAAUCGUUGGUGGAUAGCCAUGUUGCUACUCGGGACAAAGCAGCAAUGGAUCCUGCUCCUCCCUAUCCACCUCUGGCUUCACGUGAUUUGGUCCACUCCUCCUCUUUGCUCUAGUUUCUGGCAUAUAUCCACCACAUCUCUCCCUAGGCUGAUUAAAGAAUUAAUGCCAUGAUGAUUGUUGCAGCAGAAUAGGAAGUCCAGCGACGACAGUUUAAAUCGGAUGGGGGCAACGAGGCUACCACGCAGUUGUACGAUGACCUGGCAGGGAGAUGAUUAAACACACUCUACUCUGUUCCAGGUCUCGAUUGUUACUCUUGCCCCCACUAUGGAGAGUCGGCCUUUAUCACCAGAUUCCAUAUUUUGUUUCUGUAGCUAGCUAGAGCGUUGAGUUCUUUGUGAAAGCCAAAUUUAUUUUCUUGAUAUAAAUUAGUUGAUGAAGAAAUUUGUUAGUUAUAUGUGUUUCUACGAGCACCAUUGUUCGCCCCGUUAUACUCCGUAUGGAGUGGAGAAGAGUCAUGAGGGGUGGUCUUCAUGUCCUCUAGUGGCAAUGCAAAAUUCUGCUUUCGGGUUGUAUUAGCUAUGUCAAUAACUGAAAUACGAGCCACCUAGUUGACUAUGAUAUUAAUAGCUCAAUUUGCAUCCGAAUUUCCAUGUCAGCCCAUGCUAGACAAAGUAAUUAAUUAGUUGAUUUUUGGACAUACAUGCUUUCAUAAAUUUAUGUCAUUUCUUAUGUAUAUCCACCAGAACUGCAGUUAACUUCCUGGUAUAUUUUAUUUAUCUUCUGAGUUUCAGGAUUAAGAUAAGCAACUAUGAUACUGAGAGAUUACAUAGUUUUCUAUAAUGUGAUGCUUAGCAUAUCAGCUUCCCUGCUUUUACUAGGUAGGAAGACUACAAUCCCACUUCCGAUGCAAAAGUUAUGCUAAUAGCAAGGAGUAAAUGAUUUGUACAAGUUCAUGUUUACGUCAUAGGUUGGUAAUGAGGUUUCAAUAUAAAAUGGAACAUUCUUGAAUGUUCUUGUGGAAUGUUCCUACAAUCAUUAUUAUGGGAGUAAUAUUCUAAACAUUUGUUACUAACAACAUAUAUAUCAUUCCUCUCAGUUUCAUUAUCUGGAUUACAGAGCAGCCCCUUAUGGAGAACAUAAUAAGGAUCUCAUGUGGAAGUGGGAGAAGGGACGCCACCAAUCUGUGCCGGUUUGUGUUGCUCCAACCGUUUCACUACAUACCAUAAAAAUGCUUAUCUUUGUUCCAUUUGACAUGUUCAACAUUGGAAAACAUGUAUACAUAUGCAACGAUUUCUGCCAUACACUAAGACACCCAUAUUAGGCUCAUAUAUUUGAAGUACGUAACAUGAACCCCUCAAAGAAAUGGUAAACUAAUUCAUAUGGGUUCAUAAUCACCUUGAGGUAAGUUAUGAAUGUAUUUCUAUCUACUAUGUAUGCUAGUAAUUUGUUAUGUAUAACAAAUAUUACAUGGCCUUCUGCAUUUGCACGUGACUAAUAACCCGCCUCUAUCAUUACUUGCAUCAUGUCAAUUCAUUGGCUGUUAACAGUUCAUUUUGGUAUUUUCUUUAUAGAUUCAAAAAAUAUAUGGAUAAUUAUAUGGGUGUUGUGGCAAGUAUACUGCAAUGAUGACGAUGAUGUUCCAGUUCAUGAUGAUGAUGAUGAUGAUGAUGGUGGUGGUGGUGGUGGUGGAUGCUUUCAGUUUUAGUUAAGUUGUAGGGAUGCUGUUCCUGUUGGAUGAUGUUACUCAAUUAAAUUUUCGUUAAGUUGUAGGGAUGUAAAGAAAACAUUUAUAUUAUGCAUCUCAUUGGGAUGAUGUUCCUUCAGUAAUAUCCACUAUUGUAAUCCAACAGUUUUAUCCAAUAUAUGAUUUCUUCCUCUUGUGA